RNAcentral lists this non-coding RNA (31 nucleotides) under Homo sapiens (human). The record is from RNAcentral. Lineage: Eukaryota; Metazoa; Chordata; Mammalia; Primates; Hominidae.
GGUAAAGGUGUUACUGCCACUGGUGCUCACU